ACGAACAUACAGAAGACACCAAUGGUAAUUACUUUGCAGACCCCAGGUUCCUUCUAUUUGAGAGGUACUUUCACUAACCUAAUAUAAGAACAUCAAAAGAUUUACCUCCCAUAGAUACCACCCCCAAGUCCUGGCCAAUGGCUUUAUCACCCCCUCAUCCUCACGAUCCUCCCUAUCAAAUCCAUCUCUCAGAGGCUCAUGCCGGCCUUUCUCACUCCAUCUUUUGCUACAGCUCCUCCGAGCCAAGUGAAUGAAGCAGAAUGCGUCGUUUGUCUUUGUGGUAUCAACAAAAAAUUUUUGCUUAGAUAGAUUGUUGGAUCACCAAGAGAGGACAUGUCACCUAGAGCAUCUAUAUUCAGGUAAGGAGGCUCAGUGAGGAGGCAAACUUGAGGUGAGCAAUGGUGAAGUGGACAGCAUUAUGAUAUAUCUUUUUGGUGAUCCUGGCCUUGAGGUUGCAUGGUGGAUGAGGUAAGUAUAUGUGUCAGAAUUUAUCAAUAAUGCAUGUCUGUCCACAGAAGCUUGUUACAAGAAAGAAAGCAUGUCCAAAAUGAUUGAGCUUUCUGACGAUGGAGAAUGUCUUUGUCAUGGUAAUAGUCAUUAUUAUCAUAUAUAGUUCCAUUGACUCUUAUAUGAUACAAAUACAUGGUUCUGGUUUGAUUUUAU
This 663-nucleotide long non-coding RNA is filed under the name Elaeis guineensis (African oil palm). Its description in RNAcentral is "long non-coding RNA (EGUI_LNC013319)". The record is from RNAcentral. Lineage: Eukaryota; Viridiplantae; Streptophyta; Magnoliopsida; Arecales; Arecaceae.